GGAAUUAGUUCAGUUGGUAGAACGCUGGUCUCCAAAACCAGAUGUCGUGAGUUCAAGUCUUACAUUCC
This 68-nucleotide transfer RNA is filed under the name human gut metagenome. It matches the Rfam family "tRNA". Rfam says of the family: Transfer RNA (tRNA) molecules are approximately 80 nucleotides in length. The record is from RNAcentral.